Long non-coding RNA from Amphimedon queenslandica, 1742 nucleotides. RefSeq lists it as uncharacterized. The transcript is spliced from 11 exons. Lineage: Eukaryota; Metazoa; Porifera; Demospongiae; Haplosclerida; Niphatidae. The record is from RefSeq and is a predicted model, not a curated record.
AGCAAUUUAAUUUUGCUCUUUUAAGAAGCAUCUAUGGUGACAAGAGGGCACUGUUAUGAUCAUGGCUACCGCUGUGAGGUAUCAGCAUGUGUCUUGCCAGCGCGCGUCAAACGGCAUGAAGGGGGUCCAAACGUUAAGGGCGACUGGGCGAGGGGUCCAAGGGAGUCCAAACAGAGUGUCCAAGCGCUCAGGGAGUGUAUGGACCGGGGGUCCAACUACUCGCGAGCGCUUGGACCCCCGGUCCAAAUAGAAGGGGGGUCCAACCACCCUCCAACACCUGUAUCAACGCCGCGCCUGUAUGAUCUCCUGUCGAGUGUCGACGCCUGAACGUCUUACAAAUGGCGGCACUGGAGUAAAAAGGAUUUUAUAAGUAGUCCUCAGUCUAAUGUAUUUCUAAUAGACUUCAACACACCUCAAUCCUGUAGCCAUGAUACUCAGUGUACUUCUACCCUGGAAACCUCUCCUGUAUGUAUAUCUCUUGCCCACCCAACUCUAUCACUUCAAGCAAUGAAUGGAUUAUCCUGUAACUGUGUGACUGGAUACAGACAAACCUCUAACAUUGGGCCAGUCACUUGUGAGGCCUGCCCUAGUCUCAGCUCAGUUAGAUCUGAUGAUGGUUUGUAUUGCCUCACUUGUCUGUCUCCAUUGAUAUACACUGGAGGGACUUGCACUGGCUGUGAGGAUCAGACUUCUAUAUUUGUUGACACAAUUCCCAUCAAUCGUUCAUCAACUGGAGACAGAAGGUGCCAAACAUGUCCAGCUAGCACGAUUGCUGACUCUAGCAAGAAGCUCUGUAUCCCUGUGGUAUCAGUAAUUGCUCCAACUGCCUCUCAUUCACUAAUGGAGUCUGCUUCACUCAACCACUCACUCCUCCUACUUCUACUCCCUUUCCAUUUUAUUCUAAUUUCAGCUCUUCCCUUGCUCUAUGCAACAUACGUAUUGAGUGUCUGGUUUCAUUCUAAUUUAUUUGAAUUCCUCUAGAAUGGUAGUUUGAGUGCCUGCCAGUUGUUGAUCAAUUUGUGUGUGCUUCAAAGUUAUAGCAUGACUGAUCAAUCUUGUCAAGAUAUUAGAUGUCUUUCAUCAACUUCGCCUAAUCUAGUCCCUGAAGUAUAUUAUGCUCAGUUUGGUGCUCAGCAGUAUUUAACUAACAUAGCCAUUAAUACUGUUUUUUCUACAUCAAUAUCAAAGAUGGUUAUACGUUGGUGCCCAUUCCAGUCUUAAUCAGUGGUUAUCAUCACAAUAAUGGUGUACUUGUUAAUGAAGGUGAUGAUAGCUCUCAGUGGCAGUUUGUGAGAUGUUUCUAUACCCACCAGUCAGUCACUGGCACUCCAUCAUAUCUUGAAUCCACUGAAAUCAAUAUACAGUUAACCAGUCGUGGUCACAUUCAGUCUCCAUAUCUUAGACUGUCCUAUCAGGCUAUACCUACCAAUGAUGCACAAAUACAGUGGAGGAAAUAAUGCUUUCAAUAUUGCUUUAUUAGUAAUAGCUAGUGUGUUUGUUAUUCUAGCUGCAGUCUAUGCUGGCUAGUUCAUAAUCACAUUAAUAAAUACUAGAAAGAAUUAAAAAUAUUGAGGGGCUCCGCCUCCUGACUGCACCUCCCAGUCAUGCCCAGAUGUACGUACAAAUUCUUUCCUUUGUUCCAUGUUGUCUUUUUCAUUUUUGUUCCUGGUCUCUAUUUCCUUUAUAUUUUGGUUGUUGUUCUACAAGCUACAAGUGACCCUUCUCCUAAGUCCUAACGCUCC